RNAcentral lists this ribosomal RNA (253 nucleotides) under uncultured bacterium. RNAcentral describes it as "partial 16S ribosomal RNA". It matches the Rfam family "Bacterial small subunit ribosomal RNA", at positions 524 to 776 of the family's 1533-position model. The record is from RNAcentral.
UACGUAGGGACCAAGCGUUGUUCGGAUUUACUGGGCGUAAAGGGCGCGUAGGCGGCAAUUCAAGUCAUCUGUGAAAUCUCCGGGCUUAACCCGGAACGGUCAGAUGAUACUGCUUUGCUAGAGUGCGGAAGGGGCAAUCGGAAUUCUCGGUGUAGCGGUGAAAUGCGUAGAUAUCGGUAGGAACACCAGUGGCGAAGGCGGUCUCCUGGGGCAUUCUUGACGCUGAAGCGCGAAAGCUGGGGGAGCAAACGGG